AUUGAACGCUGGCGGCAGGCCUAACACAUGCAAGUCGAGCGGAUGAAGGGAGCUUGCUCCUGGAUUCAGCGGCGGACGGGUGAGUAAUGCCUAGGAAUCUGCCUGGUAGUGGGGGAUAACGUCCGGAAACGGGCGCUAAUACCGCAUACGUCCUGAGGGAGAAAGUGGGGGAUCUUCGGACCUCACGCUAUCAGAUGAGCCUAGGUCGGAUUAGCUAGUUGGUGGGGUAAAGGCCUACCAAGGCGACGAUCCGUAACUGGUCUGAGAGGAUGAUCAGUCACACUGGAAAAGGACCGCGGGCCAGUCUCCUAGGGGAGGCAGCAGGGGGAAAUAGUGAAAGAGGGGAGAAAACCUAAACCACCCGUGCCGGGGGUGGAAGGAGGGUUUGCGAAUUGUAAAGAAUUUUAAUUGGGGAGAAGGGGAAGGAAGUAAAUACUUUGUUGUUUCGCCUUUACAAAAGAAAAAGCCGCCGGCAAACUUCGUC
This 484-nucleotide ribosomal RNA is filed under the name uncultured bacterium. Its description in RNAcentral is "partial 16S ribosomal RNA". It matches the Rfam family "Bacterial small subunit ribosomal RNA", at positions 29 to 507 of the family's 1533-position model. The record is from RNAcentral.